UACGUAGGGAGCAAGCGUUGUCCGGAAUCAUUGGGCGUAAAGCGCGCGUAGGUGGCUUCGUAAGUCCGUUGUGAAAGUCAAAGGCUCAACCUUUGAAAGCCGAUGGAUACUGCGGAGCUAGAGUACGGAAGAGGCGAGUGGAAUUCCUGGUGUAGCGGUGGAAUGCGCAGAUAUCAGGAGGAACACCAAUUGCGAAGGCAGCUCGCUGGGACGUAACUGACGCUGAGACGCGAAAGCGUGGGGAGCAAACAGG
RNAcentral lists this ribosomal RNA (253 nucleotides) under uncultured bacterium. RNAcentral describes it as "partial 16S ribosomal RNA". It matches the Rfam family "Bacterial small subunit ribosomal RNA", at positions 524 to 776 of the family's 1533-position model. The record is from RNAcentral.